RNAcentral lists this ribosomal RNA (331 nucleotides) under uncultured bacterium. Its description in RNAcentral is "bacterial SSU rRNA". It matches the Rfam family "Bacterial small subunit ribosomal RNA", at positions 388 to 734 of the family's 1533-position model. The record is from RNAcentral.
GCAGCAAUACCGCGUGAGUGAAGAAGGUUUUCGGAUCGUAAAGCUCUGUUAUUGGGGAAGAAAAAAAGACGGUACCCAAGAAGAAAGUUCCGGCUAACUACGUGCCAGCAGCCGCGGUAAUACGUAGGGAACAAGCGUUGUCCGGAUUUACUGGGCGUAAAGGGCACGCAGGCGGUUUUUUAAGUCAGAUGUGAAAGGCCACAGCUCAACUGUGGACAUGCAUUUGAAACUGAAAGACUUGAGUAUUGGAGAGGCAAGUGGAAUUCCUAGUGUAGCGGUGAAAUGCGUAGAUAUUAGGAGGAACACCGGUGGCGAAGGCGGCUUGCUGGAC